CGGUAGAAAGUAUGGGUGUAUAUGUAGUUUCGGCCUACAAGGGGGGCUAGUAUAGUUCUCUACCGU
Molecule: transfer RNA, 66 nt
Filed under: Solecurtus divaricatus (divaricate short razor)
Lineage: Eukaryota; Metazoa; Mollusca; Bivalvia; Cardiida; Solecurtidae
Description: tRNA-Arg
Source: RNAcentral